AUCAUCUUUAAAUUGACUAUACCUAUUCAAAUGUAAAAAACAGUAGUGAGGGGGAUUUAAUUCAAAUACAUUUUGCUUAUACACUAUUCUUUUCUUUUUUACUCAAGACCUCUUUUCAUUUAUUUGUAUGCAGCCUCAGCUCUAUUUCAAAAGUGCAAAUUGCUUAGCAGCAACAGAGAAGCAAAAAAUCACUUUAUCUGCUGUCUUUUAAAGCUAAGUAAAGUUUCAGGUCAGUCAGUAUGUUCUUAAAGGAAGCAGCUUAUUUGUUUUUUGAAUGAAUUGGGAUUCAGAUGCUUGGAGUCGAACGAAUUGAGAGGGUAUUACCAACUGGUACUUCUUUGAGUGUUUUUGGUGAGGUAUGUUCUUGCUCAAUUAAUAUUAUACUAUAAGUACUUAAUAUGAUUUUACAUGCAAAUUGACUAAAAGCUAAUGAAUGACCAUUAGUGUUCAGAUGAUAUAUAUCGGUUUAUAUUAUAGAAUUCCAGCACAGACCAACAUUUUUAAUUUAAUAUUUUACCAAUUGUUAUGGUGUACACUCCAAUAAACGGAUUUUUGUUAUAGUUUCAUAA
This is a long non-coding RNA of Rosa rugosa (rugosa rose), 569 nucleotides long. RefSeq lists it as uncharacterized. The transcript is spliced from 3 exons. Lineage: Eukaryota; Viridiplantae; Streptophyta; Magnoliopsida; Rosales; Rosaceae. The record is from RefSeq and is a predicted model, not a curated record.